RNAcentral lists this ribosomal RNA (246 nucleotides) under uncultured bacterium. Its description in RNAcentral is "partial 16S ribosomal RNA". It matches the Rfam family "Bacterial small subunit ribosomal RNA", at positions 110 to 353 of the family's 1533-position model. The record is from RNAcentral.
GUAACGCGUGGGUAACCUGCCUUAUACAGGGGGAGUAACAGUUAGAAAUGACUGCUAAUACCGCAUAAGCGCACAGGAUUGCAUGAUCCGGUGUGAAAAACUCCGGUGGUAUAAGAUGGACCCGCGUCUGAUUAGCUUGUUGGUGAGGUAACGGCCCACCAAGGCGACGAUCAGUAGCCGACCUGAGAGGGUGACCGGCCACAUUGGGACUGAGACACGGCCCAAACUCCUACGGGAGGCAGCAUG